Aphis gossypii (cotton aphid) is the source of this 552-nucleotide long non-coding RNA. RefSeq lists it as uncharacterized. The transcript is spliced from 3 exons. The record is from RefSeq and is a predicted model, not a curated record. Lineage: Eukaryota; Metazoa; Arthropoda; Insecta; Hemiptera; Aphididae.
UGAAAAUAGUCUUAAAAAAAAAUAGAGUCAAGUGGUAGUAGUCGAUUGAGAGUAUUGAGACGCAUAUAACAAAGUCAGCACCGUUAUAUCUACAGACUGUUGUAAUAAUCACUGGCGUUGCCCGUAACGACUACACGCAAAAUACCAGCAACAAGCGGAUGAUAAUAAAAUAAGAAUUUCGUUAGCUAUGGGACGUGAACGCGCAACUAGUUUUUCUCAGCCCGAGUGAGUGGACGUUUUUUAUUCAUAUACCGGAAAUCCCACUAGGAUUUGCUAAUUUAAAGUAGUUGGCGUAGUGCGAAUUCCAUUACCCGCGGACCACAUUAAAUUAGAUAUUAAAUCAUUAUGGACUGUUCAGUGACCAAACGAAUUCUACUCGGCAAACGAUGUACUCGAACAACGUACAAUGCUCUGUCUGCAUAUCAAUAUUAUGAAAAGGGUGGAAAAGAUUAUAACGAAUCGUAUGCGCAAGCUUUAAUUUUGACGAACUAGAAAUUCAUCGAUUGACGAAAAUACCAGUAUUUUACUUGCUUCUAAUAUUUUUUUAAAUUU